RNAcentral lists this ribosomal RNA (233 nucleotides) under uncultured bacterium. RNAcentral describes it as "partial 16S ribosomal RNA". It matches the Rfam family "Bacterial small subunit ribosomal RNA", at positions 333 to 582 of the family's 1533-position model. The record is from RNAcentral.
AGGGACCUACAGGGCGCAGCAGUGGGGAAUAUUGCACAAUGGGGGGAACCCUGAUGCAGCGACGCCGCGUGAGUGAAGAAGUAUUUCGGUAUGUAAAGCUCUGUCAGCAGGGAAGAAGAAAGACGGUACCUGACCAAGAAGCCCCGGCUAACUACGUGCCAGCAGCCGCGGUAAUACGUAGGGGGCAAGCGUUAUCCGGAUUUACUGGGGGUAAAGGGAGCGUAGACGGCAGG